Molecule: ribosomal RNA, 482 nt
Filed under: uncultured Methanomassiliicoccales archaeon
Lineage: Archaea; Methanobacteriati; Thermoplasmatota; Thermoplasmata; Methanomassiliicoccales
Description: bacterial SSU rRNA
Rfam family: Archaeal small subunit ribosomal RNA
Source: RNAcentral
CAGCAGUCGCGAAAACUUCGCAAUGGGGGCAACCCCGACGAGGGAAUUCCAAGUGCGUGCACUUUUGUGUACGCUGUUCUUCUGUCUAAAAAACAGGAGAAGUAAGGGCCGGGUAAGACGGGUGCCAGCCGCCGCGGUAAUACCCGCGGCCCGAGUGGUGGUCGAUAUUAUUGAGCCUAAAACGUCCGUAGCCGGUCUUCUAAAUCCUUGGGUAAAUCGGGCAGCUUAACUGUCCGAAUUCCGGGGAGACUGGGAGACUUGGGACCGGGAGAGGUUAGAGGUACUUCUGGGGUAGGGGUAAAAUCCUGUAAUCCUGGAAGGACCACCGGUGGCGAAGGCGUCUAACUAGAACGGAUCCGACGGUGAGGGACGAAGCCCUGGGGCGCAAACGGGAUUAGAUACCCCGGUAGUCCAGGGUGUAAACGCUGCGGGCUUGGUGUUGGGGGUCCUUUGUGGGCGCCCAGUGCCGGAGAGAAGUUGUU